Molecule: unclassified non-coding RNA, 489 nt
Filed under: Hevea brasiliensis (rubber tree)
Lineage: Eukaryota; Viridiplantae; Streptophyta; Magnoliopsida; Malpighiales; Euphorbiaceae
Source: RNAcentral
GGACUUUUAUGAAACCAGGAGAACAGAUACAUAUCAAGGAGGUUCUAGAAGCCCACCAUAUGAAGACCGCCGCUACAAUGAAAGGUCUAGUCCUGGGGGAAGAAACUUUGAUGAGAGAAGAAGUCCAGGAUCUGAUCACGAAAAUCGGCAGUUUGGUGAUUUUAGGAAGAGUCCUGCUCGUUCUGAGGUUGUGAAUGAUUGGCGUCGAGAAGAUAGAUUUGGAAAUGGAAAAAGAGUAGAAGAUGGAAGAUUAUCUGAUGGAGAUUCAAAAAUUGGAGGCAGGUCACCUGAACAACCAAAUGAUCUGGAUGCUUCCAGUCCCCCCAUGGUACGACCUGUUAGGGAUAUCUUGGGAGAGAAUGUAUCUCCACUUCGUGUAAUUGAACCACCAAAAAGUAGUGGUACUAGCAAGGUUGCUGAUAGCUCUGUGCACAAACAGAGAACUGCUUCUUCGAGUAGCUUGGGGUCCAUCAGUGAGAAUGUCGUGGA